RNAcentral lists this ribosomal RNA (253 nucleotides) under uncultured bacterium. RNAcentral describes it as "partial 16S ribosomal RNA". It matches the Rfam family "Bacterial small subunit ribosomal RNA", at positions 524 to 776 of the family's 1533-position model. The record is from RNAcentral.
UACGUAGGGGGCGAGCGUUGUCCGGAAUUAUUGGGCGUAAAGAGCUUGUAGGCGGUUUGUCGCGUCUGCCGUGAAAAUUCGAGGCUCAACCUCGAACUUGCGGUGGGUACGGGCAGACUAGAGUGUGGUAGGGGAGACUGGAAUUCCUGGUGUAGCGGUGAAAUGCGCAGAUAUCAGGAGGAACACCGAUGGCGAAGGCAGGUCUCUGGGCCACUACUGACGCUGAGAAGCGAAAGCAUGGGGAGCGAACAGG